This 497-nucleotide ribosomal RNA is filed under the name uncultured bacterium. RNAcentral's name for it is "partial 16S ribosomal RNA". It matches the Rfam family "Bacterial small subunit ribosomal RNA", at positions 28 to 507 of the family's 1533-position model. The record is from RNAcentral.
GAUGAACGCUGGCGGCGUGCCUAAUACAUGCAAGUCGAGCGAACAGACGAGGAGCUUGCUCCUCUGACGUUAGCGGCGGACGGGUGAGUAACACGUGGAUAACCUACCUAUAAGACUGGGAUAACUUCGGGAAACCGGAGCUAAUACCGGAUAAUAUAUUGAACCGCAUGGUUCAAUAGUGAAAGACGGUUUUGCUGUCACUUAUAGAUGGAUCCGCGCCGCAUUAGCUAGUUGGUAAGGUAACGGCUUACCAAGGCAACGAUGCGUAGCCGACCUGAGAGGGUGAUCGGCCACACUGGAACUGAGCCACGGUCCAGACUCCUACGGGAGGCAGCAGUAGGGAAUCUUCCGCAAUGGGCGAAAGCCUGACGGAGCAACGCCGCGUGAGUGAUGAAGGUCUUCGGAUCGUAAAACUCUGUUAUUAGGGAAGAGCAAAUGUGUAAGUAACUAUGCACGUCUUGACGGUACCUAAUCAGAAAGCCACGGCUAACUACGUG